This 459-nucleotide ribosomal RNA is filed under the name uncultured bacterium. Its description in RNAcentral is "partial 16S ribosomal RNA". It matches the Rfam family "Bacterial small subunit ribosomal RNA", at positions 28 to 523 of the family's 1533-position model. The record is from RNAcentral.
GAUGAGCGCUGGCGGCGUGCCUAAUACAUGCAAGUCGAGCGGCAAGGCCCCUUCGGGGUACACGAGCGGCGGACGGCUGAGUAACGCGUAGGAACGUACCCCAAAGUGAGGGAUAAUUCCGAGAAAUCGGGACUAAUACCGCAUGUGAUCUACGGAUUAAAGCUUUAUGCGCUUUGGGAACGGCCUGCGUCCGAUUAGCUAGUUGGUAGUGUAAAGGACUACCAAGGCGAUGAUCGGUAGCUGGUCUGAGAGGAUGAUCAGCCAGACUGGGACUGAGACACGGCCCAGACUCCUACGGGAGGCAGCAGUAGGGAAUUUUCCACAAUGGGGGCAACCCUGAUGGAGCAACGCCGCGUGCAGGAUGAAUGCCUUCGGGUUGUAAACUGCUUUUAUUAGUGACGAUUUUGACGGUAACUAAUGAAUAAGGACCUGCUAACUACGUGCCAGCCGCCGCCGUAA